CAAAAUGGCGUUUUGUGUCGUAACGAAAGUUAUCUUGUCCAUCUAUACAACGAAACGAUAGAAAAAGAAUAUUUCAUAGUUCGAGGUUAUUUGUUUCCUGUUUCAAGUCGAAUUAUAUAAAAAAAGAGAUAACAAUGCCCGUCCAGACGAAAUACAAUCGAUGUCAGGCCACUGUUUUUCUCCUGUCUUUAAACGUGUGAAUGUCUUCGCCAUAUCGCAUCAAGGACGGAUUGUCUCUUUCAUAGUGUUUUCGUGAGACGAAUUUCUGGAACGUUGUCUCUUUACAAUCGUGUGAAAAGAUCGAAACGGAAAUAAAAUCCUUCUCACUCCUAAAAAUCGAUUUUACUACCGUCCAUAUUGGAAAUUCCUUACACGGAGAACAAUGAAAAUCCUCAAAUAAUAUUCAAAAAGAAGCCCUUCGGAGAAAUGGCGGGUGAUUGAUGUCAAACACACACAGAUCACCCUGGGGGAUCGACGAUCCCGUUUCACCAACGACCUCGACUCAUCAAGGACAAUCCUUAUCGGAGCUAAUAGACACGAAGGAUUUUCAAGCGAACCUACAGAAAAACAAAAUCUAACGAUGAAUCGGGAAUAUCCUCGAGCAAAUGGGAGCACCCUCGUCAACCACAAUUUUCCAUCGAGUUCUUCUUACUGUCAAGGUCGAGGCAGAUUGUCACAGCGAGGAGGGCACGAUGAUUAUCGCGUAUUACGAAUCUGUCCACUAUGGAUCUGUCGACUACUGAGAAAAUCUUCUCGAAGGGAUGCCAGAUUAUUGCUCGAUUGUUGCUCGAAUUACUUCUGUUGAGCAAGAAGUUUGUCUGAAUAAUAAUGGCUGCCAAUGUUUCAAUAACAUUGCAAAUAUUAUGUUCGUGAUAUGGUAUGGACGAUUGGAUGUUUAUCUUUGAUCAUUUUGAUCGUAAUUUCGAAUACGU
Apis dorsata (giant honeybee) is the source of this 932-nucleotide long non-coding RNA. RefSeq lists it as uncharacterized. Lineage: Eukaryota; Metazoa; Arthropoda; Insecta; Hymenoptera; Apidae. The record is from RefSeq and is a predicted model, not a curated record. The transcript is spliced from 3 exons.